This 253-nucleotide ribosomal RNA is filed under the name uncultured bacterium. RNAcentral's name for it is "partial 16S ribosomal RNA". It matches the Rfam family "Bacterial small subunit ribosomal RNA", at positions 524 to 776 of the family's 1533-position model. The record is from RNAcentral.
UACGGAGGGGGCGAGCGUUAUUCGGAAUUAUUGGGCGUAAAGGGCGCGUAGGCGGCCUUGUAAGUCAAAGGUGAAAUCCCUCGGCUCAACUGAGGAACUGCCUUUGAAACUGCAAGGCUUGAGGCCGGGAGGGGGUAGCGGAAUUCCCAAUGUAGCGGUGAAAUGCGUAGAUAUGUGGAGGAACACCGAUGGCGAAGGCAGCCCCCUGGGCUAACACUGACGCUCAUGCACGAAAGCGUGGGGAGCAAACAGG